CCUACGGUAGAAAAUGAUGGUCCCCGAGUCGAAAGGCGAGGGGUGAAAAGGGAACACGGUGAGACCGUUCUUUGGUCGAGGCCGUGGCUGCCCCCGCAACUGUAAGCGGCGAGCAACAUCCGCAAAUGCCACUGGCCGGCAAGGCUGGGAAGGCAGGAUGAAGCCGAGACCCGCGAGCCAGGAGACCUGCCAUCAGCAUGAGUUGACC
This 208-nucleotide non-coding RNA is filed under the name Mesorhizobium amorphae. The record is from RNAcentral. Lineage: Bacteria; Pseudomonadati; Pseudomonadota; Alphaproteobacteria; Hyphomicrobiales; Phyllobacteriaceae.